GACGAACGCUGGCGGCGUGCUUAACACAUGCAAGUCGAACGGAAAGGCCCCCACUUUUUUGGUGGGGGUGCUCGAGUGGCGAACGGGUGAGUAACACGUGGGUGAUCUGCCCUGUACUUCGGGAUAAGCUUGGGAAACUGGGUCUAAUACCGGAUAGGACCAUGGUUUAGUGUCUCAUGGUGGAAAGAUUAUUGUUUUGGUGCAGGAUGAGCUCGCGGCCUAUCAGCUUGUUGGUGGGGUAAUGGCCUACCAAGGCGUCGACGGGUAGCCGGCCUGAGAGGGUGGACGGCCACAUUGGGACUGAGAUACGGCCCAGACUCCUACGGGAGGCAGCAGUGGGGAAUAUUGCACAAUGGGCGCAAGCCUGAUGCAGCGACGCCGCGUGGGGGAUGACGGCCUUCGGGUUGUAAACUCCUUUCGUUAGGGACGAAGCCACACUUUUUUUGGGUGUGGUGACGGUACCUUUGUUAAGAAGCACCGGCUAACUACGUGCCAGCAGCCGCGGUAAUACGUAGGGUGCGAGCGUUGUCCGGAAUUACUGGGCGUAAAGAGCUCGUAGGUGGUUUGUUGCGUCGUCUGUGAAAUUCCGGGGCUUAACUUCGGGGUGGCGGGCGAUACGGGCAUAACUAGAGUGCUGUAGGGGAGACUGGAAUUCCUGGUGUAGCGGUGGAAUGCGCAGAUAUCAGGAGGAACACCGAUGGCGAAGGCAGGUCUCUGGGCAGUAACUGACGCUGAGGAGCGAAAGCAUGGGGAGCGAACAGGAUUAGAUACCCUGGUAGUCCAUGCUGUAAACGGUGGGCGUUAGGUGUGGGGACCGGUUUGGUUUCUGUGCCGUAGCUAACGCAUUAAGCGCCCCGCCUGGGGAGUACGGCCGCAAGGCUAAAACUCAAAGGAAUUGACGGGGGCCCGCACAAGCGGCGGAGCAUGUGGAUUAAUUCGAUGCAACGCGAAGAACCUUACCUGGGUUUGACAUGCACCAGACGGUUGUAGAGAUACGUACCUCCCUUUGUGGUUGGUGUGCAGGUGGUGCAUGGUUGUCGUCAGCUCGUGUCGUGAGAUGUUGGGUUAAGUCCCGCAACGAGCGCAACCCUUGUCUUAUGUUGCCAGCACUUUGGGUGGGGACUCAUGAGAGACUGCCGGGGUUAACUCGGAGGAAGGUGGGGAUGACGUCAAAUCAUCAUGCCCUUUAUGCCCAGGGCUUCACACAUGCUACAAUGGUUAGUACAACGCGCUGCAAGCCUGUGAGGGUGAGCGAAUCGCUGAAAGCUAAUCUCAGUUCGGAUUGGGGUCUGCAACUCGACCCCAUGAAGUCGGAGUCGCUAGUAAUCGCAGAUCAGCAAUGCUGCGGUGAAUACGUUCCCGGGCCU
This 1367-nucleotide ribosomal RNA is filed under the name uncultured bacterium. Its description in RNAcentral is "bacterial SSU rRNA". It matches the Rfam family "Bacterial small subunit ribosomal RNA", at positions 28 to 1381 of the family's 1533-position model. The record is from RNAcentral.